This is a non-coding RNA of Ciona intestinalis (vase tunicate), 473 nucleotides long. NCBI's taxonomy places the organism in Eukaryota, Metazoa, Chordata, Ascidiacea, Phlebobranchia, Cionidae. The record is from RefSeq and is a predicted model, not a curated record.
GUUGUUUCAGCUGGUACAUCAGUCGUUUCACCUGGUGCUUCUUUUGUUUCAGCUGGUACAUCAGUUGUUUCAGCUGACACUUCUGUUGUUUCAGCUGGUACACCUGUUGUUUCAGCUGUUGUUUCUGUUGUUUUGAUUCUUACUUCUGUUGUUUCAACUGGUGUUUCAGUUGUUUCAGCUGGUACUUCUGUUGUUUCUGCUGGUACUUUAGUUGUUUCAGCUGGUGCUUCUGUUGUUUCAGCUGGUACUUCUGUUGUUUCAGCCAGAUACUUCUGUUGUUUGAGCUAGUACUUCUGUUGUUUCAGCUGGUACUUUAGUUAUUUCAGAUGGUAGUUCUGUGGUUUCUGCGGGUACUUCAGUUGUUUCUGCUCCAGAUCCAGAUAGUAACAAAAGUGAUGCUUCUGAAGUAGCAUAUGUUGAAGAAGUAACUUCCUUGAAUGUUGAAGAUGGUGUUACAGUUUCUAAACCAGAUC